This is a long non-coding RNA of Herpailurus yagouaroundi (jaguarundi), 125 nucleotides long. RefSeq lists it as uncharacterized. NCBI's taxonomy places the organism in Eukaryota, Metazoa, Chordata, Mammalia, Carnivora, Felidae. The record is from RefSeq and is a predicted model, not a curated record. The transcript has 3 exons.
GAUAAUACUGUGUCCUCUAGUAAUUUGUAUGACUGGAAUUUUAAAAGAUGUAAGUGAACAGAACUACAAAAUAUAAAAAUGGCAGAGACACGUAGCACACAUGGCCCCAUGUGGAGAGCGUGUGU